GUCAGUGUGGUGUAGUGGUUUGAAUGUUGGACUAUGGCUCAGGAGGCCAGGGUUUGACUCCCUUCUUGGGCA
Phrynosoma platyrhinos (Desert horned lizard) is the source of this 72-nucleotide non-coding RNA. Lineage: Eukaryota; Metazoa; Chordata; Lepidosauria; Squamata; Phrynosomatidae. The record is from the annotation of a GenBank genome assembly.